UACGUAGGGUGCAAGCGUUAAUCGGAAUUACUGGGCGUAAAGGGUGCGCAGGCGGUAUUGUAAGCCAGAUGUGAAAUCCCCGGGCUCAACCUGGGAACUGCGUUUGGAACUGCAAUGCUAGAGUGUGUCAGAGGGGGUGGAAUUCCACGUGUAGCAGUGAAAUGCGUAGAGAUGUGGAGGAACACCGAUGGCGAAGGUAGCCCCCUGGGAUAACACUGACGCUCAGGCACGAAAGCGUGGGGAGCAAACAGG
Molecule: ribosomal RNA, 252 nt
Filed under: uncultured bacterium
Lineage: Bacteria
Description: partial 16S ribosomal RNA
Rfam family: Bacterial small subunit ribosomal RNA
Source: RNAcentral